UGGCUCAGGACGAACGCUGGCGGCGUGCCUAAUACAUGCAAGUCGAACGGUCUUUUCUAUGGAAGCUUGCUUCCACUGAGAAGAUAGUGGCGAACGGGUGAGUAACACGUGGGUAACCUGCCCAUAAGAGGGGGGAUAACAUCCGGAAACGGGUGCUAAUACCGCAUAGUUUUCUUGAUCGCAUGAUCGGGAAAGGAAAGACGGCCUUUGUGCUGUCGCUUAUGGAUGGACCCGCGGCGUAUUAGUUAGUUGGUGAGGUAACGGCUCACCAAGACGAUGAUACGUAGCCGACCUGAGAGGGUGAUCGGCCACAUUGGGACUGAGACACGGCCCAAACUCCUACGGGAGGCAGCAGUAGGGAAUCUUCCGCAAUGGACGAAAGUCUGACGGAGCAACGCCGCGUGAGUGAAGAAAAGGUUUUCGGAUCGUAAAACUCUGUUGUCAGAGAAGAACAAGUUGGAGAGUAACUGCUCCAGCCUUGACGGUAUCUGACCAGAAAGCCACGGCUAACUACGUGCCAGCCGCUGC
RNAcentral lists this ribosomal RNA (528 nucleotides) under uncultured bacterium. RNAcentral's name for it is "bacterial SSU rRNA". It matches the Rfam family "Bacterial small subunit ribosomal RNA", at positions 20 to 518 of the family's 1533-position model. The record is from RNAcentral.